Molecule: long non-coding RNA, 241 nt
Organism: Mus musculus (house mouse)
Lineage: Eukaryota; Metazoa; Chordata; Mammalia; Rodentia; Muridae
Product: predicted gene, 53620
Exons: 3
Source: RefSeq, a predicted model, not a curated record
CCUUACUAAGCCUUUCUGCAUCCUGAGGAAACCUGAACCAACAUGUUCUAUGGACUGGAAAGCACAGGAUGAAACAGGAAGAGAGAGGAGUGUAGAACAAGGGGAUGACAUGGACCAGGAACAGGGAUUGCACAUGAAGAACCCCACAUCUCUAGAGUGUGCACACAGGUGGCAACACCUUUCACCAGCAAUGAAGCCAGACACUGGGGCUUUGUCAUGGCCCUGCAUAGUUCUUUUCACA